UACGAAGGGGGCUAGCGUUGCUCGGAAUCACUGGGCGUAAAACGCACGUAGGCGGACUCUUAAGUCGGUGGUGAAAUCCUGGAGCUCAACUCCAGAACUGCCUUCGAUACUGGGAGUCUCGAGUCCGGGAGAGGUGAGUGGAACUGCGAGUGUAGAGGUGAAAUUCGUAGAUAUUCGCAAGAACACCAGUGGCGAAGGCGGCUCACUGGCCCGGUACUGACGCUGAGGUGCGAAAGCGUGGGGAGCAAACAGG
RNAcentral lists this ribosomal RNA (253 nucleotides) under uncultured bacterium. RNAcentral describes it as "partial 16S ribosomal RNA". It matches the Rfam family "Bacterial small subunit ribosomal RNA", at positions 524 to 776 of the family's 1533-position model. The record is from RNAcentral.